Molecule: ribosomal RNA, 164 nt
Filed under: uncultured bacterium
Lineage: Bacteria
Description: partial 16S rRNA
Rfam family: Bacterial small subunit ribosomal RNA
Source: RNAcentral
UAGGGAAUCUUCCACAAUGGGCGAAAGCCUGAUGGAGCAAUGCCGCGUGUGUGAUGAAGGGUUUCGGCUCGUAAAACACUGUUGUAAGAGAAGAAUGACAUUGAGAGUAACUGUUCAAUGUGUGACGGUAUCUUACCAGAAAGGAACGGCUAAAUACGUGCUAG